RNAcentral lists this long non-coding RNA (719 nucleotides) under Homo sapiens (human). RNAcentral's name for it is "non-protein coding lnc-UFM1-6:1". The record is from RNAcentral. Lineage: Eukaryota; Metazoa; Chordata; Mammalia; Primates; Hominidae.
CUUUCAAGCCAAACCUUUCUAUCAAUUCUCCUUCAUGAUAUAACUCUUAAGCCAUGGGUAAGGUUAUCACAUAAGUAUUUAGAUCUUCAAAAUCUCUACUUUAUGAAUUAUAACUUUAAAGCCUACUAAACAAUAUAAGUAUUCAUGUGGUUCUUUUGGCUAAUGGAAUUGCAACAAAACUGCUAUCCCAAAAUCACAUCAUUUACACCAAAGAAUAUAAACUGGAAUGACUGCAGGGGACCAACAGAAAACAUAAAAGUAUGACUAGGACAAAAGCUGCUGAACCAUUUCUGUCUCUACCAAACAUAACAUUCACUUGGCUGCACUACAGAGCCCAACCCAAAAACUCCCAGGACCACCGGCCAUCAGCUCACAACCUCCACUUUGCAAGCCACCACCACCAUGGACGCUACAAGGAAGGUUGAUGUCAAUAAGCAAUCCUUCAUCCCAAGAGGUAUACAAUCUGAAAGAGUCAAUAAUGAGAUUUCUAAUUUAGGGUAUCUGAUUCAGAAUGUCACAUGUCACAUAAAGUAAUGGUGAAGGAACAUGUGAGGAUAUUCACAUAUUUUUAUUUGAUUGGCUUCUUUAUUUAACCAUAUUUAAUAAGAAUCUUUAAUUAGCCUUUCAAACCUCUGCUUUCACCAGUAGCAGUGAAUUGACUGAAUUGUAUUAUCCUUUGAAUAGAUAAGCCUUAAAACAAGAACAAUUCAAGAGUCAAA